Molecule: ribosomal RNA, 468 nt
Filed under: uncultured bacterium
Lineage: Bacteria
Description: partial 16S ribosomal RNA
Rfam family: Bacterial small subunit ribosomal RNA
Source: RNAcentral
GACGAACGCUGGCGGCGUGCUUAACACAUGCAAGUCGAACGGAAAGGCCCUGCUUUUGUGGGGUGCUCGAGUGGCGAACGGGUGAGUAACACGUGAGUAACCUGCCCUUGACUUUGGGAUAACUUCAGGAAACUGGGGCUAAUACCGGAUAGGAGCUCCUGCUGCAUGGUGGGGGUUGGAAAGUUUCGGCGGUUGGGGAUGGACUCGCGGCUUAUCAGCUUGUUGGUGGGGUAGUGGCUUACCCAGGCUUUGACGGGUAGCCGGCCUGAGAGGGUGACCGGCGACAUUGGGACUGAGAUACGGACCAGACUCCUACGGGAGGCAGCAGUGGGGAAUAUGGCACAAUGGGCGGAAGCCUGAUGCAGCAACGCCGCGUGCGGGAUGACGGCCUGCGGGGUGUAAACCGCUUUCGCCUGUGACGAAGCGUGAGUGACGGUAAUGGGUAAAGAAGCACCGGCUAACUACGUG